Molecule: ribosomal RNA, 465 nt
Filed under: uncultured bacterium
Lineage: Bacteria
Description: partial 16S ribosomal RNA
Rfam family: Bacterial small subunit ribosomal RNA
Source: RNAcentral
GACGAACGCUGGCGGCGUGCUUAACACAUGCAAGUCGAACGGAAAGGCCCUGCUUGCAGGGUACUCGAGUGGCGAACGGGUGAGUAACACGUGGGUGAUCUGCCCUGCACUUCGGGAUAAGCCUGGGAAACUGGGUCUAAUACCGGAUAUGACCUUCCAUGUAGUGUGGGGGGUGGAAAGAUUUAUCGGUGUGGGAUAGGCCCGCGGCCUAUCAGCUUGUUGGUGGGGUAAUGGCCUACCAAGGCGUCGACGGGUAGCCGGCCUGAGAGGGUGGACGGCCACAUUGGGACUGAGAGACGGACCAGACUCCUACGGGAGGCAGCAGUGGGGAAUAUUGCACAAUGGGCGGAAGCCUGAUGCAGCGACGCCGCGUGGGGGAUGACGGCCUUCGGGUUGUAAACCUCUUUCGACAGGGACGAAGCUUCGGUGACGGUACCUGUAUAAGAAGCACCGGCUAACUACGUG